GACGAACGCUGGCGGCGUGCUUAACACAUGCCAGUCGAACGGAAAGGCCCCUUUGGGGGUCCUCGAGUGGCGAACGGGUGAGUAACACGUGAGUAACCUGCCCUUGACUUCGGGAUAACUUCAGGAAACUGGGGCUAAUACCGGAUAGGAAUCCUUGCUGCAUGGUGGGGGUUGGAAAGCUUCGGCGGUUUUGGAUGGACUCGCGGCUUAUCAGCUUGUUGGUGGGGUAGUGGCUUACCAAGGCUUUGACGGGUAGCCGGCCUGAGGGGGCGACCGGCCACAUUGGGACUGAGAUACGGCCCAGACGCCUACGGGAGGCAGCAGGGGGGAAUAUUGCACAAGGGGCGGAAGCCUGAUGCAGCAACGCCGCGGGCGGGAUGACGGCCUUCGGGUUGUAAACCGCGUUCAGCAGGGGCGAAGCUUGUGGUGACGGUACCUGCAGAAGAAGCACCGGCUAACUACGUG
This 465-nucleotide ribosomal RNA is filed under the name uncultured bacterium. Its description in RNAcentral is "partial 16S ribosomal RNA". It matches the Rfam family "Bacterial small subunit ribosomal RNA", at positions 28 to 507 of the family's 1533-position model. The record is from RNAcentral.